RNAcentral lists this ribosomal RNA (958 nucleotides) under uncultured bacterium. RNAcentral's name for it is "bacterial SSU rRNA". It matches the Rfam family "Bacterial small subunit ribosomal RNA", at positions 1 to 932 of the family's 1533-position model. The record is from RNAcentral.
CCGAAUUCGUCCACUACAGAGUUUGAUCCUGGCUCAGAUUGAACGCUGGCGGCGUGCCUAACACAUGCAAGUCGAGCGGUAACGCGGGAGCAAUCCUGGCGACGAGCGACGAACGGGUGAGUAAUGCUUCGGAAUCUUCCCAGUUGUGGGGAAUAACUAGCCGAAAGGUUAGCUAAUACCGCAUACGUCCUACGGGAGAAAGCAGGGGAUCGCAAGACCUUGCGCUAUUGGAUGAGCCGAAGUCGGAUUAGCUAGUUGGUAGGGUAACGGCCUACCAAGGCGACAAUCCGUAGCUGGUCUGAGAGGACGACCAGCCACACUGGGACUGAGACACGGCCCAGACUCCUACGGGAGGCAGCAGUGGGGAAUAUUGGACAAUGGGGGAAACCCUGAUCCAGCGACGCCGCGUGUGUGAAGAAGGCCUGCGGGUUGUAAAGCACUUUUAGUGGGGAUGAAAAGCCGAAGGCUAAUACCUUUCGGCCUUGACCUAACCCACAGAAAAAGCACCGGCUAACUCUGUGCCAGCAGCCGCGGUAAUACAGAGGGUGCAAGCGUUAAUCGGAAUUACUGGGCGUAAAGCGUGCGUAGACGGUUAUGUAAGUCAGAUGUGAAAGCCCCGGGCUCAACCUGGGAAUUGCAUUUGAGACUGCAUAGCUAGGGUGCGGAAGAGGGAAAGCGAAUUUUCCGGGGGAGCGGUGGAAUGCGUAGAUAUCGGAAGGAACACCAGUGGGGAAGCGGCUUUCUGGUCCCAGCACCCAACUUCAAGGCCGAAAAGCGGGGGGAAGAAAAAGGGAUUAAAUCCCGGGGAGUCCCCGCCCAAAAACAAUGAAAACUAAACGUUUGAAGGGGUAACCCCUCCCCGGGGCCCAACUAAAAGGCAAAAGUUUCUCCCCCUGGGGGGAGAACGGGCCCCGGGGGUGAAACCCCCAAGGAAUUGCCGGGGGAACCCCGCCAAAGG